UACGUAGGGGGCUAGCGUUGUCCGGAAUCAUUGGGCGUAAAGAGCGUGUAGGCGGUCCGGUAAGUCCGCUGUGAAAGUCGGGGGCUCAACCCUCGAAUGCCGGUGGAUACUGUCGGGCUAGAGUGCGGAAGAGGCGAGUGGAAUUCCUGGUGUAGCGGUGAAAUGCGCAGAUAUCAGGAGGAACACCUAUUGCGAAGGCAGCUCGCUGGGACGUUACUGACGCUGAGACGCGAAAGCGUGGGGAGCAACCAGG
RNAcentral lists this ribosomal RNA (253 nucleotides) under uncultured bacterium. RNAcentral describes it as "partial 16S ribosomal RNA". It matches the Rfam family "Bacterial small subunit ribosomal RNA", at positions 524 to 776 of the family's 1533-position model. The record is from RNAcentral.